This 402-nucleotide ribosomal RNA is filed under the name bacterium. Its description in RNAcentral is "partial 16S ribosomal RNA". It matches the Rfam family "Bacterial small subunit ribosomal RNA", at positions 355 to 776 of the family's 1533-position model. The record is from RNAcentral.
UGGGGAAUUUUGCACAAUGGGGGAAACCCUGAUGCAGCGACGCCGCGUGAUUUAGAAGGCCUUCGGGUUGUAAAAAUCUUUUUUACGGGAUGAAAAUGACAGUACCGUAAGAAUAAGGUCCGGCUAAAUACGUGCCAGCAGCCGCGGUAAUACGUAUGGACCGAGCGUUGUCCGGAAUCAUUGGGCGUAAAGGGUACGUAGGCGGCCUAGUAAGUUAGUAGUGAAAUAAUAUAGCUCAACUAUAUAAAGCUUUUAAAACUGCUAGGCUUGAGAGAUGGAAGGGAAAGUGGAAUUCCUAGUGUAGCGGUGAAAUGCGCAGAUAUUAGGAAGAAUACCGGUGGCGAAGGCGACUUUCUGGUCAUCAUCUGACGCUGAGGUACGAAAGCGUGGGUAGCAAACAGG